CCCUUAGAUGUCCGGGGCCGCACGCGCGCUACACUGAAGGAAUCAGCGUGGCUUUCUCCCUGACCCGAAAGGGUUGGGAAACCCGUUGAAUCUCCUUCGUGAUAGGGAUUGGGGCUUGAAAUUGUUCCCCAUGAACGAGGAAUUCCCAGUAAGCGCGAGUCAUAAGUUCGCGUUGAUUACGUCCCUGCCCUUUGUACACACCGCCCGUCGCUACUACCGAUUGAACGGUUUAGUGAGGGCCUCGGAUUGGUCUCGGCCCGCUCUUUACCGGGCGGCGCCGUUGGUCGAGAAGACGCUCGAACUUGAUCGUUUAGAGGAAGUAAAAGUCGUAACA
Molecule: ribosomal RNA, 334 nt
Filed under: uncultured eukaryote
Lineage: Eukaryota
Description: partial 18S ribosomal RNA
Rfam family: Eukaryotic small subunit ribosomal RNA
Source: RNAcentral